RNAcentral lists this ribosomal RNA (468 nucleotides) under uncultured bacterium. RNAcentral describes it as "partial 16S ribosomal RNA". It matches the Rfam family "Bacterial small subunit ribosomal RNA", at positions 28 to 507 of the family's 1533-position model. The record is from RNAcentral.
GACGAACGCUGGCGGCGUGCUUAACACAUGCAAGUCGAACGGAAAGGCCCUGCUUUUGUGGGGUGCUCGAGUGGCGAACGGGUGAGUAACACGUGAGUAACCUGCCCUUGACUUUGGGAUAACUUCAGGAAACUGGGGCUAAUACCGGAUAGGAGCUCCUGCUGCAUGGUGGUGGUUGGAAAGUUUCGGCGGUUGGGGAUGGACUCGCGGCUUAUCAGCUUGUUGGUGGGGUAGUGGCUUACCAAGGCUUUGACGGGUAGCCGGCCUGAGAGGGUGACCGGCCACAUUGGGACUGCGGUACGGCCCAGACUCCUACGGGAGGCAGCAGUGGAGAAUAUUGCACAAUGGGCGGAAGCCUGAUGCAGCAACGCCGCGUGCGGGAUGACGGCCUUCGGGUUGUAAACCGCUUUCGCCUGUGACGAAGCGUGAGUGACGGUAAUGGGUAAAGAAGCACCGGCUAACUACGUG